This 138-nucleotide ribosomal RNA is filed under the name uncultured eukaryote. RNAcentral describes it as "partial 18S ribosomal RNA". It matches the Rfam family "Eukaryotic small subunit ribosomal RNA", at positions 1299 to 1458 of the family's 1831-position model. The record is from RNAcentral.
UGGUGGAGUGAUUUGUCUGGUUAAUUCCGAUAACGAACGAGACCUUAACCUGCUAAAUAGACCAGCCGGCUUUGGCUAGCUGCUGUCUUCUUAGAGGGACUAUCAGCGUUUAGCUGAUGGAAGUUUGAGGCAAUAACA